GUUUAGCCCUGAUUGAAGUGGCAUCCUUUUGCUUUUUCGGCAAAAGAUAAAACGGAAAGCGGGAAAUAGC
RNAcentral lists this small RNA (70 nucleotides) under Tenacibaculum todarodis. Its description in RNAcentral is "Tenacibaculum sp. LPB0136 Flavo-1 RNA". It matches the Rfam family "Flavo-1 RNA". The record is from Rfam by way of RNAcentral. Lineage: Bacteria; Pseudomonadati; Bacteroidota; Flavobacteriia; Flavobacteriales; Flavobacteriaceae.